Molecule: ribosomal RNA, 305 nt
Filed under: uncultured Sphingomonadaceae bacterium
Lineage: Bacteria; Pseudomonadati; Pseudomonadota; Alphaproteobacteria; Sphingomonadales; Sphingomonadaceae
Description: bacterial SSU rRNA
Rfam family: Bacterial small subunit ribosomal RNA
Source: RNAcentral
UGGCUCAGAACGAACGCUGGCGGCAUGCCUAACACAUGCAAGUCGAACGAGACCUUCGGGUCUAGUGGCGCACGGGUGCGUAACGCGUGGGAAUCUGCCCUCAGGUACGGAAUAACUCAGGGAAACUUGAGCUAAUACCGUAUAAUGACUUCGGUCCAAAGAUUUAUCGCCUGAGGAUGAGCCCGCGUCGGAUUAGCUAGUUGGUGAGGUAAAAGCUCACCAAGGCGACGAUCCGUAGCUGGUCUGAGAGGACGAUCAGCCACACUGGAACUGAGACACGGUCCAGGGAAAUACGGGAGGCAGCA